Bos taurus (domestic cattle) is the source of this 117-nucleotide non-coding RNA. Lineage: Eukaryota; Metazoa; Chordata; Mammalia; Artiodactyla; Bovidae. The record is from Rfam.
GUCUACAGCCAUACCAUCCUGAACACACCAGAUCUCAUCUGAUCUUGGAAACUAAGCAGGGUUGGGCCUGGUUAGUCUUUGGAUGGGAUAAGCUGGAUAAGUUCUGAGGAUCAGAUU